GGCUUCGUGAUCGAGUGGUAAGGAUACUGGCUUCCUCACCCUGGAGUCCCGGGUUCGAUCCCCGGUCGAGAAGCUA
RNAcentral lists this transfer RNA (76 nucleotides) under Rhamnusium bicolor. RNAcentral describes it as "tRNA-OTHER". The record is from RNAcentral. Lineage: Eukaryota; Metazoa; Arthropoda; Insecta; Coleoptera; Cerambycidae.